This 773-nucleotide long non-coding RNA is filed under the name Nicotiana benthamiana. RNAcentral describes it as "long non-coding RNA (NBEN_LNC034960)". The record is from RNAcentral. Lineage: Eukaryota; Viridiplantae; Streptophyta; Magnoliopsida; Solanales; Solanaceae.
ACACCUUCUCAUAUUUGUUAAAUAAAUCCAUUCUUAUUGAGACUCUUGAGGUCUAAAGCUAUGUCAAUAAAAAGGGUCACAAACGGACGAGUCGGUUCGGAUAUGAGCGAGUAUAAAACAGAUAAUGCAAAAAAUAGAUAAAUUAUUCGAUCGAACCAUAUGUAAUACGGAUAGAAAAUGGAUUAUCAACGGAUAAUAUGGAUAUCCAUAUCAUCCACGACUUCUUGAUUAGCCUCCCCGGGGAAAAAACCAUAAUAUGUGGAAGUAUUGACGUAAUUAGCCUCCAAAACUUGAGGAACCCCCAAUUUAAAGUAUUUACAAAUAUAAAAGUUGAACUCAUUAGUUAUCCAUCGAUUAUCUAUUUUGUAAGUGAAUAAUCACUCUGUAUAAAGAAAAAGAUAAAACAUCUAUUCAAAUUACACUUUCUCACCUUUGUUAAUUAAAUUACCAAUACUAGAACAAAAGCUAUAAAAUUCCCUCUUAAGUUUUCUCACCUUAUUUCCAUUUCUAAUCUUUUCUCCUUCCUUGUAGCUAUAAAAUCUUCUCAUCUUCAGUACGUCAGUCUCCGACUCCGAUUCCGGCAUCAACGGUGAAGAUCUCUCCGGCAGUGGAAAGCUGAUCAUCAUGUUCCGUUCGAUCAAAUGAACAAGUGAAACUAACUCAAAAGAAUCAUACAAUGGACUCCCACAAUCCCAUACGAUAGAAGAAUUAGAAGCUUGACCAUCAUCUUCUCCUUUUUUAUCUUCUUGUUAUAGCUUGUUAUAUAUGUCCUG